UAUUCGACCCGCGGAUCCAGUGUUGACUCGGAGACGUCCUUACUAAGUACUUGUUGUUAAGGCUGCACAUUAGGUGGAAGGAUCCCGUCUCAGUGGCCGACAUCUUGACCUCAAAUUUCGAGUAAGGGCUCAUGGGAUCAUUUCCGGAGAACUGGAGGAACCCGUCCUGUUCCUUCCCUGGAUCUUCUCUGUAGCUAAGGUACUUGUCGUUGUACAUGGACUUCAACACCACAUACUUUGGCAAC
Molecule: long non-coding RNA, 245 nt
Filed under: Linum usitatissimum (flax)
Lineage: Eukaryota; Viridiplantae; Streptophyta; Magnoliopsida; Malpighiales; Linaceae
Description: long non-coding RNA (LUSI_LNC000535)
Source: RNAcentral